UGAUGCGGUCAUACCAAGGCUACUACACCAGAUCCCAUCGGAACUCUGAAGUUAAGCGCCUUUGGGCCGGAAUAGUACUGGGAUGGGUGACCU
RNAcentral lists this ribosomal RNA (93 nucleotides) under Anacolia laevisphaera. Lineage: Eukaryota; Viridiplantae; Streptophyta; Bryopsida; Bartramiales; Bartramiaceae. The record is from RNAcentral.